This 458-nucleotide ribosomal RNA is filed under the name uncultured bacterium. RNAcentral describes it as "partial 16S ribosomal RNA". It matches the Rfam family "Bacterial small subunit ribosomal RNA", at positions 338 to 795 of the family's 1533-position model. The record is from RNAcentral.
CCUACGGGAGGCAGCAGUGGGGAAUAUUGCACAAUGGGGGAAACCCUGAUGCAGCGACGCCGCGUGAGUGAAGAAGUAUUUCGGUACGUAAAGCUCUAUCAGCAGGGAAGAAAAACCGGCCUUAGGGCCGCCAGACGGUACCUGACUAAGAAGCACCGGCUAACUACGUGCCAGCAGCCGCGGUAAUACGGAGGGGGCAAGCGUUAUCCGGAUUUACUGGGUGUAAAGGGAGCGUAGACGGCAGCGCAAGUCUGGAGUGAAAUGCCGGGGCCCAACCCCGGAACUGCUUUGGAAACUGUGCAGCUGGAGUGCAGGUGAGGUAAGCGGAAUGCCUAGUGUAGCGGUGAAAUGCGUAGAUAUUAGGAGGAACACCAGUUGCGAAGGCGGCUUACUGGACUGUAACUGACGUUGAGGCUCGAAAGCGUGGGGAGCAAACAGGAUUAGAUACCCUGGUAGUC